AUUGAACGCUGGCGGCAGGCCUAACACAUGCAAGUCGAGCGAGCGGCGGACGGGUGAGUAAUGUAUGGGGCCUGCCCGAUAGAGGGGGAUAACUACUGGAAACGGUAGCUAAUACCGCAUACUAUCGGAUAACCCAUAUGGGAUUAGCUAGUAGGUGAGGUAAUGGCUCACCUAGGCGACGAUCCCUAGCUGGUCUGAGAGGACGACCAUCCACACUGGGACUGAGACACGGCCCAGACUCCUACCUUGUCAUCAGUUUACAAUUUUGGACAAUGGGGGAAACCCUGAUCCAGCCAUCCCGCGUGUAUGAUGAAGGCCUUCGGGUUGUAAAGUACUUUUGGCAGAGAAGCGGUAUCUGCAGAAUAAGCACCGGCUAACUACGUGCCAGCAGCCGCGGUAAUUC
Molecule: ribosomal RNA, 403 nt
Filed under: uncultured bacterium
Lineage: Bacteria
Description: partial 16S ribosomal RNA
Rfam family: Bacterial small subunit ribosomal RNA
Source: RNAcentral